This 85-nucleotide transfer RNA is filed under the name Felis catus (domestic cat). It matches the Rfam family "tRNA". From Rfam's summary of the family: Transfer RNA (tRNA) molecules are approximately 80 nucleotides in length. Their secondary structure includes four short double-helical elements and three loops (D, anti-codon, and T loops). The record is from Rfam by way of RNAcentral. Lineage: Eukaryota; Metazoa; Chordata; Mammalia; Carnivora; Felidae.
GCCUAGGUGGCUCAGUCGGUUGAGCAUCUGACUUCGGCUCAGGUCAUGAUCUCACGGUCCGUGAGUUCGAGCCCCACAUUGGGCU